GCAGGUCAGGUUGGGGGACAGUGUGGGUGAGGAUGGGGGUUAGUGUGGGUCAGUUUAGGGUCAGUGCAGGUCAGGUUGGGGGUCAGGUUGGAGGUCAGUGCAGGUCAGGUUAGGGGUCAGCAUGGGGGUUAGUUUGGGUCAGGUUGGGGGUCAGUGUGGGUCAGCUUGGGCGUCAGUACAGGUCAGGUUAGGGGUCAGCAUGGGGGUUAGUUUGGGUCAGGUUGGGGGUCAGUGUGGGUCAGGUUGGGGAUCAGUGUGGGUCAGGUUGGUGGUCAGUGCAGGUCAGCUUGGGGGUUAGUGUGGGUCAGGUUGGGGGUCAGUGUUGUUCAGGUUGGGGGUCAGGUUGGGGGUUAGUGUGGGUCAGCUUGGGUGUCAGUGCAGGUCAGGUUAGGGGUCAGCUUGGGGGUUAGUUUGGGUCAGGUUGGGGGUCAGUGUGGGUCAGGUUGGGGAUCAGUGUGGGUCAGGUUGGGGGUCAGUGCAGGUCAGGUUGGAGGUCAGUGCAGGUCAGGUUGGGGGUCAGGUAGAAGGUCAUCUUGGGGGUUAUUUUGGGUCAGGUUGGGGGUCAGUGUGGGUGAGGAUGGGGGUCAGUCGGGGUCAGGUUGGGGUUCAGUGCAG
This is a long non-coding RNA of Oncorhynchus tshawytscha (Chinook salmon), 615 nucleotides long. The record is from Ensembl. NCBI's taxonomy places the organism in Eukaryota, Metazoa, Chordata, Actinopteri, Salmoniformes, Salmonidae.